AGUACAGUUGUCCGUAUACCAAAAAACUAGCGGGAACGUGGCUCUUCCCGCCCAGGUUUGGGUGUAAAUUUCUUGGAAACUUUUGGGUCUGGUCUUCUUGCUGCCUAUAAAUAGUCCCGACCCGCAAGGAUUCAUAAGCCAGCUCGCUGUUACUUCCCUUUACGAUUCUCCAAUACGAUGAGCUCGGUCCCUGAUGGUGUCCCGCUGCCGGCCGCUUGGAACUAUGGUGCUAUUGAACGAGCUUUGCGAGACGCAGAUGCCCAUGGCGACAAGUCAAACUUUGAAACCGAAGUAGGCCAGUUGUUUGAUUCUCCACAAGAGGGGUUUGAGCUCUUUAGCAUGUAUUCUUGGGAACUCGGAUUUGGAAUCCAUUUUGGCCGUAGCAGAACUAGCAUUUCCGGGAGAAGGUCCAGGCAGGAUAUCGUUUGUGCCUGUGAGGGGCGAGAUUCUAGCGAAGAGGCACGAUCCGUGCGUUGUGGUUGUGCGGUUAUGAUUCGCCUGCUGCGCAAGGACGAUGACUCUUGGUUUAUUAGUCGUUUCGUGGGCGCCCAUAACCAUCCUCUAUCCUCUACCUGCGGUGAGAGAAGGCAGUGGAAGUCGCACAGCAGGAUAGAUCAAAUGACGCGUGACCUGGAACAAAAUCUUAGGGCUAACAACGUCCAAAUCUCUAGAGUUUGUUCUAUUUUGGGGAGCAUGCAUGGUUCUAGCAAAUAUGUUCCUUUUAGUCGCCAGUCAAUUAGGACUCUUUGUGGGCGGCUAGCUCAAGAGUUGAUUGAGGGAGACAUGAGCAAAACAAUUGGGCUCUUUGCCGGCAUGAGGGAACAAGAUCCAGCUAUGGUUAUCAGGAUGCAGCUGGAUGAUGGGAGGCGGAUCAAAUCUCUGUUUUGGUGUCACGGUGCUAGCCGGUUCAACUAUUCUUGUUUUGGGGGAUGCAAUCACUUUUGAUACUACUUACCGAACCAAUUUGUACAACUUUCCGUUUGGUUUGUUCGUGGGCGCUAACCAUCAUUUCCAGACCGUCAUAUUUGGAGCUGUGCUGCUUACAGAGGAGACUACAGAUGCUUUUCAGUGGGCAUUCCGUACCUUCGUUGAAGCUAUGGAUGGUCUGCAUCCUUAAACAAUCCUGACUGACCAGUGCCCGGCCAUGAAAUCUGCAAUUGCAAUUGAACUCCCGACCACUCGGCACAGGUGGUGCAAAUGGCACGUUCUGAAAAAGGCUAAGGAGUCCCUAGGAGGCAUAUACAGUAAGAACUCUAUUUUUAAGAAGCAGCUGCAUGAGCUUGUAGAUGAGAUUGUUUCUAUCCCAGAGUUUGAGACUCGUUGGGCACAGUUGGUAGAGGAACAUGGUCUUGGGGAAAAUGAGUUUCUUGCUCGAGCUUACCAGAACAGAGAUAUGUGGGCUAAACCAUUUUUCACUGAAACUUUCUGCACUGGGAUGACUAGAACUCAACGCAGUGAGAGCGCUAAUCAUCUUUUGAAGACUUAUAUCCCUAGGUCGGCUCCCAUGCAUCUUUUUGUUUCCCAGUAUAACAGAAUGAUAGCUGAUCGUGAUGCCGAUGAAGGAAAGGAAGAACAUGCUACUAAACAGGUUUGAUUUAUAUGUUCAGCACCGAGCGUCAAUACAAGAUGAUAUGCAUGUUGAUUUUUUUUCCCUAAUAGGCUCACCGAUCUCUGCGCGUUGGGGUGCCUCUGGAGUUACAUGCUGCUCAAGUUUACACCAGAGCUAUGUACCAGAGGUUUUCCAAUGAAUUGUUUAAAUCCGGUAAAUUUUCCUGCGCUGACGAACCUGAAGCUGGGAACUACAGAGUUAUCCUUCUCGAUUAUGGCCCUUAUAUGGACCACGGUCUAGUUGAGUACCGUGUCGGUUCGAACCCAUUUGCAACAGAUUUCUUUUGCCAAUGCAAACGUUUCGAGCAUUGCGGGAUCCCCUGUUGUCACAUUCUGAAGGUUCUGACCCAUCAUGGUUUCACUGAGAUUCCUGCUGGUCUUUUGUUGAAGCGAUGGACGAGGGAAGCAAAGUCGGUUGGUGAUCCUAAGCUUGCUGCUGUCAUUGCGGCGCAGCAGGUUACUGAUCUCGAUGUCGCUGGCCAUUACUUCUUUGACAGGGAUCAGUGACGAUGGAGCGUUGGGGUCUGGUCUUGGUUCUGACCACCCAACCGAAGAAAUGGGUAGUGGUAAUGAACUGGCAAGUGCCAGCGCGCCACCGCGCGUUCGUUCUCGGGGUAGGCCAGCAAAGUGCCGUAUGAAAUCUCCUUUGGAGAGCCCAGGUGCUAGCAAACGCAAGGAAGCACAACCAAUGGGUGUGCGCCAUUCCAAGAGGCUGAAUGCUUCUAGUCGCAGCAAUGUUGCUGAAGGCAAAUGCAGGUUGUGCGGCUCUGAUGACCACUACGCUAAUGCUUGUCCUGAGAACACUGUUUCAGACCCCAAGUCAAUAGCUGUCCGUAAGUGGAAGGCUUACGGUGAAGAUGGCCAUUAUCGCAGUACUUGUGGCCGCGUGUCCACCUAUGGUGGUGGAAAGGGGAGGUGAAAAAUAUUGGAGAUCAGCUAUUGGUUCGGUUUAAUGUUGUUCGCGUUUGUACUGCUUCAGUCUUGUCGUAGUUGAACUUAGCGCAGAUGUAGAUCGAUUCAAUGGGUAUGAUCCACGUGCACCUGCACUUGUACUCUUACCGCUGUAAUGGUAACAUCUGUUUGAAUGCUAGCAUUUAUGAAAAUGGAAAAUGUCUUGUCAUUGAUGUACCUUCGUAUUGAUGAUAAAUGGUGUAUAGCUUUGCCUGUGUAUUUAAGUGGGUUGGCAGAUUCAUGCUCCAACCAUAAAGGAAACAGGUCUGCAUCCGGCUUCGUUAGCUUUCGCAAUUCCUUAGCGUUGCCACAUAUUUGUGUCAAUGUCUUCUGCUUCGACCGGUCGCAGUUCUUCGUAUCUGGGACUAUCGGAACACAAAUGCGACUGCGGUGAGUUUUGCGGCAUGUGGGUAUCUCGAACUCCUCGCAAUCCUGGAAGAGUUUUCAUCAAAUGCAUAUGUCUUAGGUGCAACUGUGGGUUCGGGCGGUGGAAGGCUACUGCAGACCAUCUUGCUACUGCUGGUUCAUCCCAAGUUCGUCAUGAGGCAUCUGCACCUUUGCACACCAGGCCCCCCGUUGGAGGCUUGCCUUCACAACCCGCAAGUCCUGUCAAUGGAGCAGAAGCGCAAUCGACGUUCCGGGCCGAGUUUGAUGCAUUGUGCAGGGAAUACUUAGAACUGGAGCGACUGAUCUAUUGUGCUUUCGUUUGUUAUUUUACAUUUGCUUUAGUCAUUUUGUGGGUUGCCGCUAGAGUACUGUGAGAGAGUAUUGUAGUUUUACUUUUGUGAUCCUUUUUUCUGUGCACAGAACUAAUGUGAUGCUUAUUUUGUUGG
Molecule: RNA transcript, 3392 nt
Organism: Panicum virgatum (switchgrass)
Lineage: Eukaryota; Viridiplantae; Streptophyta; Magnoliopsida; Poales; Poaceae
Gene name: protein FAR1-RELATED SEQUENCE 5-like
Exons: 7
Source: RefSeq, a predicted model, not a curated record